Non-coding RNA from Equus caballus (horse), 651 nucleotides. The record is from RefSeq and is a predicted model, not a curated record. Lineage: Eukaryota; Metazoa; Chordata; Mammalia; Perissodactyla; Equidae.
GGCUGCUCCUUAGGGAUCUCUGCCUCCUCACCAGCAGGCUGGGAGCCGGCCCUUCUCGCUGUUUCUGGCGUCUGCCUCCAGCAAGUCCUCCCGUUUCUCUACCUCUUCCCUCAUUUCCCGUCUGCCCAGCUUUGUGUGAAACCAGACGACAAAGGGUGUUCGGAUUAAGAGCCAGAUGUUAGAGAAAUUUCUGGAAUGUUCCAGGUACACCUAUGUCCUCCAACACGAAAGUUAAAGCAUGUCCUUGAGACUUCUCAGACACCACUGCCACUCUCUUAGUUUAACUGGACGUGCGUAUUUUAUCCAGCUGGUGGCUACCAUAUUGGACAGCACAGAUGUGGAACAUUGCCAUCGUUGCGGAAAUUUCUACUGGACUGCUUUAGAAACUCAAUCAGCAGCAGGUAGCUGAUGACCCGUCUGUGACUUCUGUUCUUCUGCCCAGUGGCACGUGAUUGGCAGGCAGAGCCAAACAGCCAAGGUACCCCUAACUACCAUAAUAAAGUUCUUGGCCUUGGAACCAGAUAAUACUAAUUACGCCAAUUCUUUUUCAUCUCGAAACUUGAAUUUAAUUUCCUCACUUAGGCUUCUGUUCCCCCAUUUAUUUUCUUUCCUAUCUCCCCUACAUUGCUGAACACCCCUUGUAAAAAACCU